This 485-nucleotide ribosomal RNA is filed under the name uncultured bacterium. RNAcentral describes it as "partial 16S ribosomal RNA". It matches the Rfam family "Bacterial small subunit ribosomal RNA", at positions 29 to 523 of the family's 1533-position model. The record is from RNAcentral.
AGUGAACGCUGGCGGCGUGCUUAACACAUGCAAGUCGAACGAGAACGGAAUAUAGCUUGCUAUAUUUGUCAGCUAAGUGGCGCACGGGUGAGUAAUGUAUAGAUAACCUGCCCUUAAGAAAGGAAUAACAGUUGGAAACGACUGCUAAUGCCCUAUAUGCCUUUAGUACAUAAGUAUGCAAGGGAAACGCUUUAGUGCUUAAGGAUGGGUCUGUAUGGUAUCAGCUUGUUGGUGAGGUAAUGGCUCACCAAGGCUAUGACGCCUAACUGGUUUGAGAGGAUGAUCAGUCACACUGGAACUGAGACACGGUCCAGACUCCUACGGGAGGCAGCAGUGGGGAAUACUGCACAAUGGACGAAAGUCUGAUGCAGCAACGCCGCGUGGAGGAUGACACAUUUCGGUGCGUAAACUCCUUUUAUAUAGGAAGAUAAUGACGGUACUAUAUGAAUAAGCACCGGCUAACUCCGUGCCAGCCGCCGCAGUAA